GAUUGGUCCAACCAAUCAAUAAGAGCAGAGAGGACUAGGAUUACGGGAUUGGCUUAAACCAAGGAUGAUUUAUCCCUUGGAUGGAACCCACCUGCUCUGCUUGUGUUGCUGCCUCAUGCCUAAUCUCUCUCUCUCUUUUUUAAUCAAGGCCCUUUUAUCUAGGAAAAUGGAGAGAGUGACUGUGGAGCAGAGAACCAACAAUGUCUGGUCCACACCCAACUCAGAGUUCCUGGUAGCUAAAUCGUCUCGGACUCUUUGUGACCCCAUGGACUGUAGCCUGCCAGGCUCCUCCGUCCAUGAGAUUUCCCAGUCACUUCAGUCGUGUCCGACUCUGUGCAACCCCAUAGACGGCAGCCCACCAGGCUCCCCCAUCCCUGGGAUUCUCCAGGCAAGAACACUGGAGUGGGUUGCCAUUUCCUUCUCCAAUGCAUGAAAGUGAAAAGAGAAAGUGAAGUCGCUCCGUCAUGUCUGACUCUUAGCGACCCCAUGGACUGAAGCCUACCAGCCUCCUCCAUCCAUGGGAUUUUCCAGGCAGGAGUACUGGAGUGGGGUGCCAUUGCCUUCUCCGCUCUCUGUAAAUAGCUAAUAAAAAAAAAAAAAAAAAAAACAA
This is a long non-coding RNA of Bos taurus (domestic cattle), 610 nucleotides long. The record is from Ensembl. NCBI's taxonomy places the organism in Eukaryota, Metazoa, Chordata, Mammalia, Artiodactyla, Bovidae.